CCUACGGGCGGCUGCAGUGAGGAAUAUUGGUCAAUGGGCGCUAGCCUGAACCAGCCAAGUAGCGUGAAGGAUGACUGCCCUAUGGGUUGUAAACUUCUUUUAUAUGGGAAUAAAGUGCAGUAUGUAUACUGCUUUGCAUGUACCUUAUGAAUAAGGAUCGGCUAACUCCGUGCCAGCAGCCGCGGUAAUACGGAGGAUCCGAGCGUUAUCCGGAUUUAUUGGGUUUAAAGGGAGCGUAGGCGGGUUGUUAAGUCAGUUGUGAAAGUUUGCGGCUCAACCGUAAAAUUGCAGUUGAUACUGGCAGCCUUGAGUACAGUAGAGGUAGGCGGAAUUCGUGGUGUAGCGGUGAAAUGCUUAGAUAUCACGAAGAACUCCGAUUGCGAAGGCAGCCUGCUGGACUGUAACUGACGCUGAUGCUCGAAAGUGUGGGUAUCAAACAGGAUUAGAUACCCCGGUAGUC
This 460-nucleotide ribosomal RNA is filed under the name uncultured bacterium. RNAcentral describes it as "partial 16S ribosomal RNA". It matches the Rfam family "Bacterial small subunit ribosomal RNA", at positions 338 to 795 of the family's 1533-position model. The record is from RNAcentral.